This 20-nucleotide non-coding RNA is filed under the name Arabidopsis thaliana (thale cress). The record is from RNAcentral. Lineage: Eukaryota; Viridiplantae; Streptophyta; Magnoliopsida; Brassicales; Brassicaceae.
UACUAACUCACGUGAUCGCA